This 1052-nucleotide long non-coding RNA is filed under the name Homo sapiens (human). RNAcentral describes it as "HSALNT0266762". The record is from RNAcentral. Lineage: Eukaryota; Metazoa; Chordata; Mammalia; Primates; Hominidae.
GGUCUGGGCCGCGGGGGAGGUUGCGCGCUUUGUCUGAACUGCUGGGAAUGCGGGCGUGAGUGCGCGGCCCGGGGGAGUGUCGGGACCAGCUAGGGGAGUUGUCAGAAAGUUCGUGCGGGAGUGGCUGCAGGUGGCGUCGUGGGAGUCUGUAGGAGGGUGUACGGGAUGUUGUGUCGAGGGGUUGCUGCCACAGGUCACUGAGGGUAGAACUGAUUGUUAGUGUGAUGACGCCUGGAGUUUUCCCUGUCGGAGAGAUCGGGGGUGGCCGGGUCGGUUGGAGUUCGUGGGUGGGCGGGUACAGAAGUUGGGCUAGUUGUGUGGGUCACAGUUGUUCGUGCUAGGCCUGGGGUCUGUAAGCUGUGCGUGUGCGUGCUGUAUGCGUCGGUGAAAACCCUAGGGUUUGUAAGGCUUGAGCGAUGGGUCCGGGCCAGUUAUCCUAGCGCUGUUGGUUAAUUGCCUGGCGUGAGUGUGUCUGGGUGCGGUGUGGGGUGCAUAUGUGGGAAGCCUCCCAGACUACAGAUGGCCCUGUGUGGCGGAACACCGAGGUGGAGAAGUUUGUGUAGACUGAGGGGUCAUUCCCCAGGGCCCACCCGGGGAACCCUGCAGACAGACUUGGCUGGCAGCCAGGGUGGAAUUUGUACAGAUAACCUUGAGUACUUCUCACAGCCGGCCAGGGCUGCAUCACUGAGCCCAGAUCCCAGUGGCCUGACUGAAAGGGUAGACCCUUCCCUCGAAAGCCUGGCCUAGCCAGCCCAGAGAUCUGGGCUCGGGUCCAAGAAGAGGAAACAAAACCUGGGAGAUGCCAGAGUCUGUUGGCCGGCCUGCUGGGGAGCUGUUAAAAGGCUGAGAAGGGAGGAGCCUUGAGAUCCUGGCAUCAGCCUGGCCUAGAACUUUUGCUUUUAAAAUGAAAAUCUGGCUGGGCGGGGUGGCUCACACCUGUAAUCCCAGAUCUUUGGGAGGCCGAGGCGGGCAGAUCACCUGAGGUCAGGAGUUCAAGACUAGCCUGGCCAACAUGGCAAAACCCUGUCUCUACUAAAAAAAAAAAAAUAGCU